This 82-nucleotide transfer RNA is filed under the name Streptomyces fumanus. RNAcentral describes it as "tRNA-Gly(gcc)". The record is from RNAcentral. Lineage: Bacteria; Bacillati; Actinomycetota; Actinomycetes; Kitasatosporales; Streptomycetaceae.
UCCGCGCCGGGCGCCGGCGGCGCGCUCGGCGCCUGCCACGCGCUGGACCUGCCGCUGCUGUUCGGCACCUUCGGCGCCGACC